This 67-nucleotide small RNA is filed under the name Peribacillus loiseleuriae. RNAcentral's name for it is "Bacillus sp. FJAT-27997 Bacillaceae-1 RNA". It matches the Rfam family "Bacillaceae-1 RNA". Lineage: Bacteria; Bacillati; Bacillota; Bacilli; Caryophanales; Bacillaceae. The record is from Rfam by way of RNAcentral.
UCUUAAGGUAGGCUGACUAAGAUCGGCACGUCCUGCGGCAACGUCGGCAUGACCCACAUUCUGUGGG